GGCUUUAUAGUCAAAUUUAUGAUUUUAGACUGCAAUUCUAGAGUUGGGAAUUUAUUCCCUAAAGCUU
This 67-nucleotide transfer RNA is filed under the name Calacta lugubris. Its description in RNAcentral is "tRNA-Cys". The record is from RNAcentral. Lineage: Eukaryota; Metazoa; Arthropoda; Insecta; Hemiptera; Plataspidae.